RNAcentral lists this ribosomal RNA (529 nucleotides) under uncultured bacterium. RNAcentral describes it as "bacterial SSU rRNA". It matches the Rfam family "Bacterial small subunit ribosomal RNA", at positions 28 to 526 of the family's 1533-position model. The record is from RNAcentral.
GACGAACGCUGGCGGCGUGCCUAAUACAUGCAAGUCGAGCGCGUGAAACAACAUGAUCCCUUCGGGGUGAUUGUUGUGGAUCGAGCGGCGGACGGGUGAGUAACACGUGGGUAACCUACCUGAGAGAUCGGGAUAACCCCGGGAAACCGGGGCUAAUACCGAAUAAUCGUUGGAACCGCAUGGUUCCAACGUAAAAGGCGGCUUUUGCCGUCACUUGCAGAUGGACCCGCGGCGCAUUAGCUAGUUGGUAAGGUAACGGCUUACCAAGGCAACGAUGCGUAGCCGACCUGAGAGGGUGAUCGGCCACACUGGGACUGAGACACGGCCCAGACUCCUACGGGAGGCAGCAGUAGGGAAUCUUCCGCAAUGGACGAAAGUCUGACGGAGCAACGCCGCGUGAACGAUGAAGGUCUUCGGAUCGUAAAGUUCUGUUGUUAGGGAAGAACAAGUACCAGAGGAAAUGCUGGUACCUUGACGGUACCUAACCAGAAAGCCACGGCUAACUACGUGCCAGCAGCCGCAGUAAUAC